AGACUCUAGAGGGUAAUGCUCUGGAUUUGAGCUAUGUUCUUUUUUUUUUUAUAAGAAGAGAAACAUGAGGCGAUGUUUCGAAAUGGGCGCGAGCUAGAAAACGAGGUUGGGAAAGGCUUAUCUAAAGAUGAAAAGACUCAAAAAUUAGCUCUUUAGCAUUGGCUUGAAGUUAUUGACCCACAUCAUCGUUAUGGCCACAACUUGCACUUCUAUUAUGAUGUCUGGUCAGC
Long non-coding RNA from Arabidopsis lyrata subsp. lyrata, 230 nucleotides. RefSeq lists it as uncharacterized. Lineage: Eukaryota; Viridiplantae; Streptophyta; Magnoliopsida; Brassicales; Brassicaceae. The transcript has 3 exons. The record is from RefSeq and is a predicted model, not a curated record.